This 1066-nucleotide long non-coding RNA is filed under the name Homo sapiens (human). RNAcentral's name for it is "HSALNT0356425". The record is from RNAcentral. Lineage: Eukaryota; Metazoa; Chordata; Mammalia; Primates; Hominidae.
UUUUCUGACAUUUGAAAAGAUCUGAAGAUACGCCCCUUGGAUGCCUGCAGAGAAGCUCUGGGGCUUCAGUCAAUGACUCAGGGUAGCCACCGAACAUGAUGCUCGGGCAGUGGGUGCCACCUGGACUCCACUCUCCCCUCUCUCUGGGAUCAUAGAGUCCAAGGUGUUCUGUGGCCUCUCGGCCAAUCCCAGCAGCUCAGCGUGCAGAAGACCGAGGAGCCAUUGGUCAGUGUAGGAGGUGCCUGGAGUUUUGGAGAUGGGAUCCACAGGAAUUCAACACAACACGAAAUAAUCAACAAAUUCGGGGAAUGUUAAUCUGACCAUCACCAGUUACAAAUGAUGUUUCAUGCUACCUUCUAUUCCUGCCUUCAUAAAUCAAGGAAAAGAAAAAGAGAACAUAUAUCCCCCUACCUUUUGAUUUCCAACAGUCUACUGAGAGGCCAAGAUUAUUUGCAGGGAAAGAAAAGGGGUCAAAAUGUUUUGCCAGUAACUCCCAAAUCAUCUACAGCCAAGGAGAAAAGUGUUUCAAGACAGAGGUGCUCAAUGGUAUCAAAUACUGCCAACAGACCAAGUAAUACAUGCAUUGAAGUGUCUACUGGAUCUAGCUAUAUGAAUUUUUAAUUUAGGACACUUAGGCCAUACUGAAGCAAGGUGACAAAAUGAAUAGCUACAAUGUCUCGUGAAUCUUGGGUUUCCAUUCACCCUGGUAUUCAAGAGAAAUUCUUGCAUCAUGGAAGUUGCAGUUGGAUAGGACUUUCUCAGCUGAACACUGUCAUCUGCCAGAGCUUCAGGCAAGAACCCAGAACAGAUGAAACCCCAGACAUGACAAAAUAAGCCAAAGAAUACCAGGCCAAGGUGUGAAAGGCCAGAUGAGAACAAGCAGCGUACACGAUUCUGUUGCCAACAGAUCUCCCCUAACAGUGUCGUGCACCAAAUUUCCACAGUGAAUGUCAGGAAAAAAUGGCAAUUGAGGUGGGUGGUCAAAAGAGAAGCACAGUCUAUGAUGAAGUCACCCCAGAGAAGUCCUUUUUCCGUUUUCUCCUGAGAAAUUACCAGAAGAAAUUAA